GAAAAGUACAUUUCGGGCUUGCCACUAAGUCCACUGAAGUAGCUAAAUUCACUGUAUUUUACUAUGGCAAUUGCUAGAUAGUAUACUUCAAAAUAAGGUUUCCGUUUUUAUAUCAAUUUUUAAAAUAAUUAAAAUAAGUUAGGGUUAGGUUAGGGUUUAGGUUAGGGUUAGGUUAGGGUUAGGGUUAGGGUGAGGGUUAGUAUUAGGGUUAGGGUUUAGUUUUGCGUUAGGAUAGUUUUUUCUACGUUAUAAAAACGGAAAUCUUAUUUUGAAGUAUACUAUCUAGCGAUCACCAUUUUACUAUCUUUAGUAUCGAUAGCGUCGACUUUUAAACUUUUUGAAAAUUGUCUUCGUUCCUCGGUUUGUCGCUAAAAAAUAACUCUUUUGGACCACGGUCAAGAUAUCGUGAAAAGCUGCCCGCUCUUGCAGCCAAUCAGAUUGCAGGAAAUAAAAAAAAAUAUCACUAGGCAUGCACAAAUAAAAAAAAUAUUAUUAUAUAUCAAUAGUCAAAGUCGCAUUUUUCUAGUGUUUUAUUGGUUGAGAGCAUAUCACGUGAGAGUGACGAAAUUAGGCUGUCUCCCUCGCAACAGCGCGAGAGGGAGAUAAUACGUUAUCGACCGGCGAAUAACAAAGAAAUCACGUGCGCAAUCACGUGAAGAUCCGACCUUUGGACAUGCCUAGUACGUAAUUAAAACUUUCGCUUUAAGUAACUGCAGUGUAAGCCAGUGUUUAAUAUAACGUAUUAACAAUAAAAUAUUUCAUGUAUUUAUGUUCAUUUGUUCUUUAAUUUGUUGUUUCUUUGACUAUUGACAUAUAAUAAAACACUUAUUUACUGAGACCUCGGGAAAGCAGUGUGUUUUGUGGACCCUCGAUGUUUCCCUCGGCUUCGCCUCGGGAAACAUCGACGGUCCCGGGUCCACAAAACACACCGUUUCCCUCGGUCUCAGUAAAUAAGUGAUAAAUAUUGCAUGUCUGCAGAAUUACAUAUCUGCAUAUUGUACUAUAUAUAUAGCGAGCGGCCCCGGGGGAGUGAAAAAGCCCAGGCCCUCUCUGAAAGGAGCCAAAGGAAAUUUUAACGAUGGCAGCUCAACCCCUGCAUGAGCUCUGUACAUGGUCAACGAUAUUAUAACCACAAAUUUCGCAUGUGUAGGGAUGGACGGUUAGAUUCUGAUCGAAAAGUUUCUGUAGAUAUCAUUUUCUACAGUUUCUUCACGAUGUUUUAAAUAUGCCCGCGUAGAAACAUUGAAAAUACUAAUUAACAUAUCAAUAAUUGUACUCCCCCUCCCGAAUAAGUUUUGUUGAUUAAUCGUCCAAAGAACCAUCGAUGGCGACUUGAUACACAGCUGCGAAGUGAUCAUAACCAGACUUUAUUACGAAGCGAAGAUGACUUGCAGAGGUUGCUGGCAUCUGGAAGUCAAACAGUUG
Non-coding RNA from Paramuricea clavata, 1425 nucleotides. NCBI's taxonomy places the organism in Eukaryota, Metazoa, Cnidaria, Anthozoa, Malacalcyonacea, Plexauridae. The record is from the annotation of a GenBank genome assembly.